GACGAAAUGCAGUACUAGAAGUGGUACCCAAUCUGAGCCCGAGUGUGACGGACCUGAUCAAAGUUAAGUUUUUACUCGACGGAAGCCGCAAAUACAAUUUCUUCACAUAUUGUUGUUGCAGUUCAUCGAAUAUGCGGAAGUCCUUGAGAACAAUCUGGCCCUGUUUGAGCUUCUACCAAUCUUGCCAAUCUACAAUGCCUCCGGCACCGAUGAGCUAAGCAUUGACCUGACGAGGGUACUAUGGAUAUCACCAGACAAGAAGCGAUCGAGACAGCUGAGAGAUCGUUUACGAGAUGGUACGUGACCGUAGCAUGGCGCUGCUAAUGUUUUUCAGCAAAUCAAUAAUAAAAAUCUGUUGUCUAGCUAUUAAUGGCAUCUUGAA
Molecule: long non-coding RNA, 382 nt
Organism: Aedes aegypti (yellow fever mosquito)
Lineage: Eukaryota; Metazoa; Arthropoda; Insecta; Diptera; Culicidae
Exons: 2
Source: RefSeq, a predicted model, not a curated record